Molecule: ribosomal RNA, 535 nt
Filed under: uncultured Bacteroidales bacterium
Lineage: Bacteria; Pseudomonadati; Bacteroidota; Bacteroidia; Bacteroidales
Description: bacterial SSU rRNA
Rfam family: Bacterial small subunit ribosomal RNA
Source: RNAcentral
CCGGCGCACGGGUGAGUAACACGUAUCCAACCUGCCGACAACACUGGGAUAGCCUUUCGAAAGAAAGAUUAAUACCGGAUGGCAUAGUUUUCCCGCAUGGGAUAAUUAUUAAAGAAUUUCGGUUGUCGAUGGGGAUGCGUUCCAUUAGGCAGUUGGCGGGGUAACGGCCCACCAAACCAACGAUGGAUAGGGGUUCUGAGAGGAAGGUCCCCCACAUUGGAACUGAGACACGGUCCAAACUCCUACGGGAGGCAGCAGUGAGGAAUAUUGGUCAAUGGACGAGAGUCUGAACCAGCCAAGUAGCGUGAAGGAUGACUGCCCUAUGGGUUGUAAACUUCUUUUAUACGGGAAUAAAGUUAGCCACGUGUGGCUUUUUGUAUGUACCGUAUGAAUAAGGAUCGGCUAACUCCGUGCCAGCAGCCGCGGUAAUACGGAGGAUCCGAGCGUUAUCCGGAUUUAUUGGGUUUAAAGGGAGCGUAGGCGGGUUGUUAAGUCAGUUGUGAUAAGUUUGCGGCUCAACCGUAAAAUUGCAGUU